This 568-nucleotide ribosomal RNA is filed under the name uncultured bacterium. RNAcentral's name for it is "partial 16S ribosomal RNA". It matches the Rfam family "Bacterial small subunit ribosomal RNA", at positions 355 to 914 of the family's 1533-position model. The record is from RNAcentral.
UGGGGAAUUUUGGACAAUGGGCGCAAGCCUGAUCCAGCCAUGCCGCGUGCGGGAAGAAGGCCUUCGGGUUGUAAACCGCUUUUGUCAGGGAAGAAAUCUUCUGAGUUAAUACCUCGGGAGGAUGACGGUACCUGAAGAAUAAGCACCGGCUAACUACGUGCCAGCAGCCGCGGUAAUACGUAGGGUGCAAGCGUUAAUCGGAAUUACUGGGCGUAAAGCGUGCGCAGGCGGUUUUGUAAGACAGAGGUGAAAUCCCCGGGCUCAACCUGGGAACUGCCUUUGUGACUGCAAGGCUUGAGUGCGGCAGAGGGGGAUGGAAUUCCGCGUGUAGCAGUGAAAUGCGUAGAUAUGCGGAGGAACACCGAUGGCGAAGGCAAUCCCCUGGGCCUGCACUGACGCUCAUGCACGAAAGCGUGGGGAGCAAACAGGAUUAGAUACCCCUGGUAGUCCACGCCCUAAACGAUGUCAACUGGUUGUUGGGAAGGUUCCUUUCUCAGUAACGUAGCUAACGCGUGAAGUUGACCGCCUGGGGAGUACGGCCGCAAGGUUGAAACUCAAAUGAAUUGAC